RNAcentral lists this ribosomal RNA (253 nucleotides) under uncultured bacterium. Its description in RNAcentral is "partial 16S ribosomal RNA". It matches the Rfam family "Bacterial small subunit ribosomal RNA", at positions 524 to 776 of the family's 1533-position model. The record is from RNAcentral.
UACAGAGGGGGCAAGCGUUGUUCGGAAUUACUGGGCGUAAAGGGCGCGUAGGCGGCCUGCUAAGUCGAACGUGAAAUCCCCGGGCUCAACCCGGGAACUGCGUCCGAUACUGACAGGCUUGAAUCCGGGAGAGGGAUGUGGAAUUCCAGGUGUAGCGGUGAAAUGCGUAGAGAUCCGGAGGAACACCAGCGGCGAAGGCGGCGUCCUGGACUGGUACUGACGCUCAGGAGCGAAAGCGUGGGGAGCGAUCCGG